Molecule: ribosomal RNA, 257 nt
Filed under: uncultured bacterium
Lineage: Bacteria
Description: partial 16S ribosomal RNA
Source: RNAcentral
GCCUCCCCUUCCCGUCCCGGCCCCGACCGUCCACGAACGUACCCUUAACCCGGUAAACCGGGACCGGAACGGACCGAACGUCGGGGGAAGGUACGUUAGGUCACAAUAGGAAGGCGAACUCUGAUGCAGCGACGCCGCGUCGAGCGAUGAAGCCCUUCCGGGUCGGUAAAGGCUCUUUCGUACCGGGUAACCGGAGUAAUGACGGUACCCGAAGAACGAAGCUGCGGCUAACUACGUGCCAGCAGCCGCGGUAAUAC